CAGGCCUCCUCACUGUUCCUCAAACAUGCCAAUUGCAUGCCCAGUUCAGGGCUUGGCUUUUCUUUCUUUUUUUUUUUUUUGUUUAGACCGAGUCUCGCUCUGUCGCCCAGGCUGGAGUGCAAUGGCGUGAUCUCAGCUCACUGCAACCUCAGCCUCAGGAGUAGCUGGGAUUACAAGCAUGCACCACUACGCCCAGCUAAUUUUUGUGUUUUUAGUAGAGAUGAGGUUUGCAUGCACCACCAUACCUGGCUAAUUUUUGUAUUUUUAGUAGAGACGGGGUUUCACCAUGUUGGUCAGGAGUCUUCUGUAGUCACAGCUAC
Molecule: long non-coding RNA, 320 nt
Filed under: Homo sapiens (human)
Lineage: Eukaryota; Metazoa; Chordata; Mammalia; Primates; Hominidae
Description: HSALNT0256234
Source: RNAcentral